AUGUUCCUACGGGGGGCAGCAGUGGGGAAUAUUGGGCAAUGGGCGCAAGCCUGACCCAGCAACGCCGCGUGAAGGAAGAAGGCUUUCGGGUUGUAAACUUCUUUUCUCGGGGACGAAGCAAGUGACGGUACCUGCAGAGGAAGCCACGGCUAACUACGUGCCAGCAGCCGCGGUAAUACGUAGGUGGCAAGCGUUGUUCGGAAUAACUGGGCGUAAAGGAUGCGUAGGCGGUUAAACAAGUUAUAUGUUAAAUAUAUAGGCUUAACCUGUAGAAAGCAUAUAAAACUGUUUAACUAUAGUGCAGG
RNAcentral lists this ribosomal RNA (305 nucleotides) under uncultured bacterium. Its description in RNAcentral is "bacterial SSU rRNA". It matches the Rfam family "Bacterial small subunit ribosomal RNA", at positions 333 to 652 of the family's 1533-position model. The record is from RNAcentral.